This 31-nucleotide non-coding RNA is filed under the name Mus musculus (house mouse). The record is from RNAcentral. Lineage: Eukaryota; Metazoa; Chordata; Mammalia; Rodentia; Muridae.
UGUAAGGUCUGCUUCCUUGAGCCUCCAAUGU